AAAACAGAUUUGGGAACAAGGAAAUGGUCAAGUGGUCCAAUUGGAUUAUGGAAACACUCAUCUACAAAGACUUUGCAGACAAUGGGAACUGUAUCAGCCGCAUGCAUCUCUUAUGUGGAAAACUCAAUGUGUUAAGGAAUCAAGAUAUAUUUUUACUCUUGUUCAGUUUUAUUAUUUCUAGUAUUAUAAAUAUUUUAUUUGUUAUUUUAUUUUAUUAUUUCAGUUUUUAUAAAAUUAAAUAAUUUAGAAUCAAGGAAAAUGAAAAUGAUGAUUACUUUAAAUCAAUUUAUAAUGCAUAUACUAAUUUCAAUUAACAAUAUAUAUACCAAAAUCUAAUUAAUUAUAAUUUUUAUGUAACGCAUUAUAUUUUGUAUAAUAAACGUGAGUACUCAUUAGUUUGAAUAAUAUAUUUAUAUGAAAAAAACAUUUAUAUGAAAAUCACAGAUAUUAAUUAAUAUCAUAGAAAAAGUCAAUAUCCAAUUAACAGUCAAAAUAGUUUUCAGUUGAAAAUUAGUAUCGUUUGGAUAUGUCUGAGUCAACUAUAUCAAACUUGAUCGAUGUUUCAAAAGUUCAAACACCAAUCUGCCUACUUUUUUGUUUGUUUCUCACGUUGUUGUUUUAUUUCCAUUCAAAGUAGCAUCCUUUGAAAAAUCAUGAGCGAAGUGGAUUUUGAUUACUCAACCUUUGAAAUUAAAGUGUUUUUCAAAACAAUUGUUAUAAAAAAUUUGGCCUGUACUCGAGUGAAAAAGCAAAAAUCUUAGGUAAAUAAUAACGGGUUGCCAACUAACUAAUUUUGGAAUUAAAAUUAAGAAAAUAGCUUUGAUUCGAUGUUACUAAUCUAACAACAUUUCAGCACAUUUGUCCAAAUAUACGCUUAUUGUUUCUAAGUACAGGUGAUAGAGAACGCAAGAGAUGACAUCGACGAGUGCAAAUAUGGCCAGCAGAAAUUGAGGUUGAAGAUGGUCUAAUAUAUACAUAACUAUGAUGUCCAGUUAAUCGUAAACAUUUACCUUCGAUAAAGCUCAAUUUUUAACCUCAUAUUUAUACAACUAUCGGAUUGAAUGUGUAACUUUCCAAAAGAUAAGGACAUGUUGAUGGAAACAACGUAACAAAUCAUCCGCAAAUUAUCAAAAAGAUCAUCACAUGUAAAAUAGUAUUGAACUACUAAUUAAUACAUAAACAAAUGGUAUAGAUAAUAAAUAUUUUGAAAUAUUGUAUACAAAUGAAAAUAUAAAUAUAAAUAGACUGAACAUGAUAAAUA
Molecule: long non-coding RNA, 1261 nt
Organism: Brassica rapa (field mustard)
Lineage: Eukaryota; Viridiplantae; Streptophyta; Magnoliopsida; Brassicales; Brassicaceae
Source: RefSeq, a predicted model, not a curated record